UGGCAAGUCUCUUACGACCAGCUCCUACUUAAUCCCCCAGGACGGGAACGUAGCAAGGGUAGGUGGUUGUAGCGGUGCGAUAAGAGUAGCUUGCCACUU
This 99-nucleotide signal recognition particle RNA is filed under the name Flavobacteriales bacterium. RNAcentral's name for it is "signal recognition particle sRNA small type". It matches the Rfam family "Bacteroidales small SRP". Rfam says of the family: The non-coding component of the signal recognition particle in Bacteroides Lineage: Bacteria; Pseudomonadati; Bacteroidota; Flavobacteriia; Flavobacteriales. The record is from RNAcentral.